This 305-nucleotide ribosomal RNA is filed under the name uncultured bacterium. Its description in RNAcentral is "partial 16S ribosomal RNA". It matches the Rfam family "Bacterial small subunit ribosomal RNA", at positions 508 to 807 of the family's 1533-position model. The record is from RNAcentral.
ACAGCAGCCGCCGCGGGAAUACAGAGGGUGCGAGCGUUAAUCGGAUUUACUGGGCGUAAAGCGUGCGUAGGCGGCUUUUUAAGUCGGAUGUGAAAUCCCUGAGCUUAACUUAGGAAUUGCAUUCGAUACUGGGAAGCUAGAGUAUGGGAGAGGAUGGUAGAAUUCCAGGUGUAGCGGUGAAAUGCGUAGAGAUCUGGAGGAAUACCGAUGGCGAAGGCAGCCAUCUUGCCUAAUACUGACGCUGAGGUACGAAAGCAUGGGGAGCAAACAGGAUUAGAUACCCGUGUAGUCCCUGUCUCUUAUAC